RNAcentral lists this long non-coding RNA (210 nucleotides) under Elaeis guineensis (African oil palm). RNAcentral's name for it is "long non-coding RNA (EGUI_LNC007529)". Lineage: Eukaryota; Viridiplantae; Streptophyta; Magnoliopsida; Arecales; Arecaceae. The record is from RNAcentral.
GGUCAGCUCAGAUGAAACUUGAUCAGCUCACUGAAUACUACUUAAAUUUUUAGAUUUUUAUUUUCUUCUACUUUCUGAGACUGGAUUGACUAACUUUAUGAUUGAGUCGACUAAGACCUUAUUUUGGUCGACUCAUUUGAAUUUUGGAUCAACUAAGUCUCCUAUCUUCCAAAAUAUGACUUUCUAUCUUUUAUCCAUACUGAGACUGGG